This 407-nucleotide long non-coding RNA is filed under the name Olea europaea subsp. europaea. The record is from RNAcentral. Lineage: Eukaryota; Viridiplantae; Streptophyta; Magnoliopsida; Lamiales; Oleaceae.
CUCCACUUCAUCUAAAUAUUGGCGCAGCACUAUAGGUUCCUUCUUAGUUUGCAACCAAUUCUUUCCACAUAUACAAGUCUCAACCAUCCGUGCACCUAAUGAACUCCUAAAGGAAUCAAGUAUCCGACCUCCAGUUGAGAAUGCAGACUCAGAAGCAACUGUAGAAAUUUGAAUCGCUAAUACAUCUUUGGCAAUUUGGGAGACAAUCUUAUACUUAGGAGCAUUUAUUUUCCACCACAUCAAAAUGUCGAAUGGCUCCUCAGUCAAAUCAUCACAUCGGUCGGACAAGUAAUCUACCAAAUCAUUUUUCUCCAACCUAGCAUCUCGAUUAAGUCUCGCUUUAAAGAUUGAAGGGAUGGGUCUAGAAAUACCCAAAGUAGGUUGUUGACUUUGACUACUAGUUUGAG